AUGGCAAGCAUAUCUGAAGACUCUGGUGAAGAAACACCACUACAGGUGGCACCACUACAUAUUUUUGUCAGGCUCGCCUUUUCGAUGCGCAAAAUGAAGAGCGAUAAAGUUCUGGUCAGGAGACUUUCUGCAUGCGAGACAAUGGGUUCUGCAACAACAAUUUGCAGUGACAAGACUGGAACAUUAACUUUAAAUCAGAAGGAAUUGAUCAGAAUACAUCUGUAA
Molecule: ribosomal RNA, 225 nt
Filed under: Triticum aestivum (bread wheat)
Lineage: Eukaryota; Viridiplantae; Streptophyta; Magnoliopsida; Poales; Poaceae
Description: partial small subunit ribosomal RNA
Source: RNAcentral